AGAGAGAGACAUGCGCGCAUAUCAAUAAGCGGAGGAAAAGAAACUAACAAGGAUUCCCCUAGUAACGGCGAGUGAAGCGGGAAGAGCUCAAAUUUGAAAUCUUAAAGGGUUUCCCUUUACGAAUCGUAGUUUAAAGAAGUGUUUUCUGUUGAGGUUUUGGUAAAAGUUCUUUGGAAUAGGACAUCAUAGAGGGUGAGAAUCCCGUAUUUGACCUUUACUUUCAACUUUGUGAUACACUUUCAAAGAGUCGGAUUGUUUGGGAAUGCAGUCCAAAAUGGGUGGUAAACUUCAUCUAAAGCUAAAUAUUGGCGAGAGACCGAUAGCGAACAAGUACCGUGAGGGAAAGAUGAAAAGAACUUUGAAAAGAGAGUUAAACAGUACGUGAAAUUGUCAAAAGGGAAGCGUUUGACACCAGUGUUGUUUUUCUGAAAAUCAAUUAAAGAACUGUUUAUGCUAAGCUGUUUAGACUUUAUCAGCUAACUGUUUAGUUUUGAGCUUUUCUUUAAUGCACUUUUCAGUUAACAAGUCAACAUCAAUUUCUUUUGCUGUAAAAAAGCUUGAGGAAGGUGGCUUGAGAUUCGUCUUAAGUGUUUAUAGCCUCUUGCCUAUGCAGUCGGAGAGAUUGAGGUCUGCAGCGUAGAUCCUUCGGGGCUAAAUGCAUUUGUGCUAAGUUAUAGCAUUUUAUAGACAACUUGUUGACUAUGAUUUGUCUUGUAGCUUACUCGCUUAUGUUAUUUUACCUACGCUUAGGAUGUUGACGCAUGAGAUAUACGC
RNAcentral lists this ribosomal RNA (774 nucleotides) under uncultured Neocallimastigales. RNAcentral describes it as "partial large subunit ribosomal RNA". It matches the Rfam family "Eukaryotic large subunit ribosomal RNA", at positions 23 to 647 of the family's 3401-position model. Lineage: Eukaryota; Fungi; Neocallimastigomycota; Neocallimastigomycetes; Neocallimastigales. The record is from RNAcentral.